AUACCUUUCUCGGCCUUUUGGCUAAGAUCAAGUGUAGUAUCUGUUCUUAUCAGUUUAACAUCUGAUAUGUGGAUCAUUUGAUCCACACGAUAUUAAAUUAAUUUUUUUAGGGGGAGAUUUUAUACCAGUAGCUUGCUAUUGAGAUUCUCAAGUGUCGCUCAUGUUUUGCACUAUAGCAUGAGUUCGGCGCAUCCCAC
This is a non-coding RNA of Cicer arietinum (chickpea), 197 nucleotides long. NCBI's taxonomy places the organism in Eukaryota, Viridiplantae, Streptophyta, Magnoliopsida, Fabales, Fabaceae. The record is from Rfam.